RNAcentral lists this ribosomal RNA (854 nucleotides) under uncultured bacterium. RNAcentral describes it as "bacterial SSU rRNA". It matches the Rfam family "Bacterial small subunit ribosomal RNA", at positions 1 to 853 of the family's 1533-position model. The record is from RNAcentral.
CCUUAGAGUUUGAUCCUGGCUCAGGAUGAACGCUAGCUACAGGCUUAACACAUGCAAGUCGAGGGGCAGCAUGACGAUAGCUUGCUAUUGUUGAUGGCGACCGGCGCACGGGUGAGUAACGCGUAUCCAACCUGCCCUUGUCCAUCGGAUAACCCGUCGAAAGGCGGCCUAACACGAUAUGCAGUUCUCAGCAGGCAUCUAACGAGAACGAAAUGUGAAGGAGAAGGAUGGGGAUGCGUCUGAUUAGCUUGUUGGCGGGGUAACGGCCCACCAAGGCAACGAUCAGUAGGGGUUCUGAGAGGAAGGUCCCCCACAUUGGAACUGAGACACGGUCCAAACUCCUACGGGAGGCAGCAGUGAGGAAUAUUGGUCAAUGGGCGAGAGCCUGAACCAGCCAAGUAGCGUGCAGGAAGAGGGCCCUAUGGGUUGUAAACUGCUUUUAUAUGGGGAUAAAGUGAGCUACGUGUAGUUUAUUGCAGGUACCAUAUGAAUAAGGACCGGCUAAUUCCGUGCCAGCAGCCGCGGUAAUACGGAAGGUCCAGGCGUUAUCCGGAUUUAUUGGGUUUAAAGGGAGCGUAGGCCGCCCCUUAAGCGUGUUGUGAAAUGCCGCGGCUCAACCGUGGCACUGCAGCGCGAACUGGGGGGCUUGAGUGCACGCAACGCAGGCGGAAUUCGUGGUGUAGCGGUGAAAUGCUUAGAUAUCACGAAGAACUCCGAUUGCGAAGGCAGCUUGCGGGAGUGCGACUGACGCUGAAGCUCGAAGGUGCGGGUAUCGAACAGGAUUAGAUACCCUGGUAGUCCGCACAGUAAACGAUGGAUGCCCGCUGUGUGUCUUAAUGGUACGCGGCCAAGCG